This 1253-nucleotide long non-coding RNA is filed under the name Macaca mulatta (Rhesus monkey). Its description in RNAcentral is "lncRNA (ENSMMUG00000057939.1)". The record is from RNAcentral. Lineage: Eukaryota; Metazoa; Chordata; Mammalia; Primates; Cercopithecidae.
CAGGGGAGGGGAGGAGGUGAGAGACAGGGGAGGGGAGGAGGUGAGAGACAGGGGAGGGGAGGAGGUGAGAGUCAGGGGAGGGGAGGAGGUGAGAGUCAGGGUGGGGAGAAAUGGAAAGGAAUGUGUAGACAACAGAACGACCUGGGAACCUUGCAAAUAUCCGUGGUGAAAAUACGCUACAAUAGGAUAAAUAUGUGAUUAACUCCACCCCCUUCAUCUGGGGUCUCAAAAACAAGCAAACAAGCAGAUAGAAAACAAAAGCAAAAAGAAAAGCUCUGAAGCAGAUAUCAAAAUGGUGGUAGGUUUAAUAUAUUUACAUCGAGCAAAUAUAAGUUUUUAACAAAAAAGAUAAUUUGAUGUAAUUUCCACAUUUCAUGUUCCAUAUUUCCAUAGCAAUUUAUAAGCUAGUUAAAGGAUUUAUUUAAAAAUAGUAAUUCUGAGAGCACUAUCAGGGUGUGGCCUGAGAGAGGGCCACAGAGUUUGAAUCUUCUCUAAAUUCUGACAAAAUAUCUCUGUGACUAUAAAUAUUCGGAGGCAACAUCAACACUUUAACUUUAGAGACCUUUGUCAAUGGGAGGCGGGGACCCAGUGGCGCCCUCUGCCCCUGCCUCAUCCCCCUCCCAGAUCCUGUGUCCCCACUUAGGCUGAGACCAUGAUGUGGUAACCUGGUCCAGGUGGCUUUGAGUCCCUCUCUGUGGAGGUGUGGGAGGUUUGGGCCAGGUCAUGGCAGUCGCCACCCCAUAGAUGUCACAGGUCCUGAAACGCUGCUCUUUGUGGCUUCUGGAUGGGGCCUGGGGACCUGGGAAAACCAGGGGCAGCGACACAGGACUGGGCGAGUUCUGAGAUGGACCGAAUACUCUGCCAAGCCUUGAGCCUUAACACAGUCCCAUGAGCAGGACCUGGAGACUCAGGGAUGGGAUGAUGCCCUUGGAAGCCGUGAAUAUGCACCUUGGAAUAUCUGGAAGAUCUGGGAAGAUCCCGGCUGAGCCCUCUGCCAGUGUCUGCUGGGGAAGGAGCCUGUUUGCAGUCUGAUGGCCCCAGCUGCUGCUGGUCUCGCUCUGUGGCCUUGGACAAAAUGACCAUCAUCUCCAGCCUCAGCAUCCUCUUCCUCUUCCGCGGAGGGGCCAAUGACCACACCCAAAGGUGAUUCUCUCUGCGUUGUUCUCUCUCAACUUUCUUAUUUAUUUAUUUUUUGUUUUUUUUGAGAUGGAGUCUCACUCUGUCACCCAGGCUGGAGUGCAGUAGCACCAUCU